CCUUCCCUCUGGGAAUUGCAAUCAUGUCACCACCCUCCCUCUCGGUGACUUUGCACAUGCUGCUCCCUCAGCCUGAAACAACCCUCCCUGCUUUGCUUUGUUGGUGAAGAGGUGUUUUCAUUACCUAUUCUGCAGGCCUCCCCUGAGCUGGGUGGCCCUGCUCUGGGUUUUCCUGGUCCACAGUACUCACAGCUGAGCCAGAUUUAAUUUUUGUUUGACUCCUCAGCUAGGAUGGUGAAUGCCUGGAAGGAAGGAACACAUCUUAGUGUCACCCUGUCUGUCCCUAACGCCCAGCAUGGAGAGCUAUGAAGUGAAUGAAUAUAGGACCCAGGCACGGUUCAAAUCUUCCUGAAUAAAACAAAUGGAGGCCAGCCAUCUGGCAGGCAUUUCACAGCCCUUCCUAAAAUCAGUUACUAUUUGCCCUUGACUUCUUAUAGAACUCUGCUCAGCCUAGGCAGCCCACCCCCAAGCUGUUCUAUGCCCCUCUUUUGGUGUGUUUGAUACUUGAUGACACAAGCAGAAAGGAUUUUGUUCUUUUCUGUAGUAACCACCCCAGGUGUAAGAGUUUAAUAACAAAAUUACUGCAGAGUGCCUAUUAUAAUGGGGGGUGGAUUAAUUACCGGUGUGUGUGUCAUUUGGAACAUUAGAGAAGCCGCAUCCCUGAAGCCCAUCUCCACACCAGUUGGAAGCCCUCCUGCUCCUUCCCCAGCACCAGCUGCUGAGAACAAAGUCACUGCACUUACAUUGCCCUGACCCUGGAGUGCAGUGCCCAGCCUCCUCACCCGAUCCCCUAAGAGGCAGGAUUCCUCUGCUGAGGUCUGGGUCUCCUCAGGGGUUUGAAUCCAGAUCCCUGUGACCCUCCCGCUAUCAUUAUUCCCUGAGCUGGGCUUCAUCUGCUCCCAACGCCAUCCUUAAGGGUUAAGUGGAAGAAAGAAGACCAUGCAAUCAUCUUUACCUUCCUGCUUUCCCAAGACUGCAAAUUCAGACCACAGUGGGGGGAAGGGGGGGUCUGGCUGCUCAGCCUUCAAUCUCGAUUCUUUGCGCGCGCGCGCACACACACGCACACACACUUACACACUCUCGCCCCUGGGACCCAGCUCGGCGCAGGGCGGGGGCUCUGCCCGGUUUCUGCCGCUUUCCCAGGCGCGGGACCACGGCUUCCCGAGCUCCCGGAAGGACGAACGCACAACGCUUUGCUCAAGUCCCCGCAGUGUUCUGUCAAUCAGAGCCAGCGUUUUCAUGCCAGGGCUCAACUCCCUGAGGAGCCAAUGCAGGCCAGGUGGACUGAGCAGGACUGAGAGGUGAAGACUCUUCUUUGAUGGAGUGCAGUACAGAAACAGACAGAGGGCUGGAUUUUGCCUACCCUUGACCUUUGAUGGAGGGUGAACAUAGGAGGGAAUGAGAAACGUGGGAGGAGGACUCCCAUGACUGAGCUUCAGACCCUGGGCCGAAAGAACAGAGAUGCUCCUGGUCACACAGCCCCCCAGGGACGAAGAACUACCUCAGGAGUGGCUCAGCGGAAACGAAUCCGACUAGGAACCAUGAGGUUGCGGGUUCGAUCUCUGGCCUUGCUCAGUGGGUUAAGGAUCUGGCAUUGCCUUGGGUUGUGGUGUAGGUUGCAGAUGUGGCCCAGUUCCUGAGUUGCUGUGGCUCUGGCAUAGGCUGGCAGUUACAGCUCCGAUUUGACCCCUAGCCUGGGAACCUCCAUAUGCCGCGGGUGCGGCCUAGAAAAUACAAGACAGAUUAAAAAAAAAAAAAAAAAAAAAAGAACUACCUCAGAGGGCAUGGGCUGCAGCUCAAUCACAUACACAAAGGCACCAACGUGAUGCCACAGAAAACUGGUAAACCUCGGAAAAGGAAGCAAGGCCUUCCUGCUCCAGUUUAUGCUGUUCCUACAGCGCCCUCUAGUGGCAGAGACUAACAAGCCAGGUUGCAAAGGACUGGAGGCUGCUUCCAUUCGACCUGCUGCUUCUCUCUGUGUCCACCUCCUCCCUCCUCCCUGAACCUUCCAGCUGCCAUCUUGCCUGAUGGAUGCCGUUGCGGUCCUGAGAGGCAGUCAGCAUCUUCUUUGGGUUGUGCUGUGGGGGAGGAGAUGGCGGGGGCGUGAUCAUUCCUUGCAUAGGUGGGCUUGGAAGCCAACAAGUUAUGGAAAAAAUGGUCGGGUUCUUUCUGAUGGUGGUUUACAGGUCCCAGUCUUCGUCUGAAGUGGUGAAUAUUGGACAAUGGCAGUAAGUGGCUUUCCAUUGCUCUCCGCUUUUGGUAGGACCUGGGAAAGUUGGGGGGCCCCCUGAAGGGGAAUCUCUGUCCCCGCCGUAGAUGUCUGGGUGCAUGCAGUCUUCUGCUACCUUUCUAAAGCAAACCUCUGGGGAGUUUCUGCUGUGGCUUAAUGGGAUCGGUGGUGUCUUGGGAGUUCUGGGACGCAAGUUCGAUCCCCACCCGGCACAGUGGUUUAAAGAUCCGGUGUUGCCACAGCUGUGGCUUAGGUUGUGACUGCUGCUUGGAUCUGAUCGCUGGCCCGGGAACUCCAUAGGCCAUGGGGUGGCCAAAAAUGAAAAUAAAUAAAACCAAAUAAAGCA
Molecule: long non-coding RNA, 2576 nt
Filed under: Sus scrofa (pig)
Lineage: Eukaryota; Metazoa; Chordata; Mammalia; Artiodactyla; Suidae
Description: lncRNA (ENSSSCG00070022157.1)
Source: RNAcentral